AGGGUUCUUACUUGAAAUAUAAGUUUCAUUAUCAGCCUUCUCUCUACUGGCCGGUCGCGUUCAAAAGAAGCUAUGGGAGAAUCUGAAGAGUAUCGUUGCUUCAUUGGUGGACUGGCAUGGGCAACUACUGAUAGAAGUUUAAAAGAUGCAUUUGAAAAGUUUGGUCACCUCGUAGAGGCUAGGGUUGCUGUUGACAAGUUCUCGGGUCGCUCUCGUGGAUUUGGAUUUGUGACUUUUGAUGAGAAGAAGUCAAUGGAAGAAGCCAUUGAGGAAAUGCACGGAGUUGAUUUGGAUGGACGAAGUAUCAAUGUUGAGAAAGCUCAACCCAACCAGGGGGGCUCUGGUAGGGAUCGCGAUGACCGACCCCGUGACCGAGACAGAGAUCGUGGUCGUGAUCAUAGCCGUGACUUUGGAGGAGGAGGAGGCAGAGGAUCUGGUGGUGGUGGAGAUUGUUUUAAGUGUGGCAAGCCAGGUCACUUUGCUAGGGAAUGCCCUGGUGAAGGAGGAGGAGGAGGAGGAGGAGGAGGCAGAUAUGGUGGCAGGGAUGACAGGUAUGGCGGCGGAAGGGAAGACAGGUAUGGUAGCGAUGAUGGAGGUCGUGGUAGCCGCUCUGGCCCAGAGAGGAAUGGGGAUCGGUAUGGAGGACGAAGCAAGGAUUCUGGUGGAGGUGAUCGAUACAGUAGAGAUCGUUCAGGACCAUAUGAGCGUCGAAGUUCAGGAGGACACCGUGGAUGAAAUUUAUUUGAGUUUUGAGAGUUGGAGAACUGAAGGGUCAUGCUGUUAAUCCUUCAUGGAAUUGGAAGCUUGGACACUUCAUUUUUCAGGUUGUCUUCUCGUUUUGAUGUCUGACUAUUGAAAAAAAAUGUAAUGGAAGUGUGAUCUUUGAGACAAUACGCUACUGAUAAUAUUAUGGAUCUUGUACUUGCUUGAUUGCUGCUGGUUGUUUAUUCGGGCUAAUUUACUAUAGAUCUCUGGUUCCUUUUUGGGGUAUAUUGAUUGCAUAUCUUGGUUGGUAUUUAGUACAGUCAAACAUGAGAAAAUUUCCAAGCUGUUUUGGUUAAAACACACUAUGAUCCCCACCAAGCUUGUAGCUGACUUUGUUGCAUAAUACUUGCACUUGAUCGGUUCUUCAACUGUCCUCAAUUAUUCUCUUUUGGUUGGUUCCCUGGUUGGUCCUGAAUGUUCACCAUGAAACCAUGUGGCUCUUGAGCUCCAUUUUUGCCUCAUUAAUUGCAGUUGUCUGUUCACUUUGAAGUCAAAGAUGGCGAUUUCACCUAUAAGUUGUCCACCUAUAUGCUGUCAUGGAGAUAAGAAUAAAGUCUUUCUAUAUUUGCUUUGAUCUUUUGGCACAUGGGAUAUCUCUACUCUUCUAUAAAACCAAGUAUAAUCUCACCCUUUAUUUCUUCUU
RNA transcript from Impatiens glandulifera, 1408 nucleotides. It is a transcript of the gene named glycine-rich RNA-binding protein RZ1A-like, with no coding region annotated. The transcript is spliced from 5 exons. The record is from RefSeq and is a predicted model, not a curated record. Lineage: Eukaryota; Viridiplantae; Streptophyta; Magnoliopsida; Ericales; Balsaminaceae.